CCAUCGGUGGUUCAGUGGUAGAAUUUUCGCCUGCCACGCGGGUUCGAUUCCCGGCCGAUGCA
This 62-nucleotide transfer RNA is filed under the name Cordylochernes scorpioides. Its description in RNAcentral is "tRNA-Gly". Lineage: Eukaryota; Metazoa; Arthropoda; Arachnida; Pseudoscorpiones; Chernetidae. The record is from RNAcentral.